UAGGGAAUCUUCCACAAUGGGCGCAAGCCUGAUGGAGCAACACCGCGUGAGUGAAGAAGGGUUUCGGCUCGUAAAGCUCUGUUGUAAGAGAAGAAUGACAUUGAGAGUAACUGUUCAAUGUGUGACGGUAUCUUACCAGAAAGGAACGGCUAAAUACGUGCUAG
Molecule: ribosomal RNA, 164 nt
Filed under: uncultured bacterium
Lineage: Bacteria
Description: partial 16S ribosomal RNA
Rfam family: Bacterial small subunit ribosomal RNA
Source: RNAcentral